GAAUCCCGUCUUUGGCACGGAAACCCCAGGGCUUUUGUGAUGCGCUCUCGAAGAGUCGAGUUGUUUGGGAAUGCAGCUCAAAAUGGGUGGUGAACUCCAUCUAAAGCUAAAUAUUGGCGAGAGACCGAUAGCGAACAAGUACCGUGAGGGAAAGAUGAAAAGCACUUUGGAAAGAGAGUGAAACAGUACGUGAAAUUGUUGAAAGGGAAACGCUUGAAGUCAGUCGCGUCGACCGAGACUCAGCCUUGCCCUUGGCUUGGUGUACUUCUCGGCUGACGGGUCAGCAUCAAUUUUGCCCCUUGGAUAAUGGCGAGGGAAAUGUGACACCUUUACGGUGUGUUAUAGUCUCUUGUCGCAUGCAAGGGUUGGGAUUGAGGAACUCAGCACGCACCUUUGGGUGUCGGGGCUUUGCCCACGAUACGUGCUUAGGAUGUUGGCGUAAUGGCUUUAAACGACCCGUCUUGAAACACGGACCAAGGAGUCUAACAUGCCUGCGAGUGUUCGGGUGGAAAACUCGUGCGCGCAAUGAAAGUGAAAGUUGGGACCUCUGUCGUGGAGGGCACCGACGCCCGGACCAGACCUUCUGUGACGGCUCUGCGGUAAAGCAUGUAUGUUAGGACCCGAAAGAUGGUGAACUAUGCCUGAAUAGGGUGAAGCCAGAGGAGACUCUGGUGGAGGCUCGUAGCGAUUCUGACGUGCAAAUCGAUCGUCAAAUUUGGGUAUAGGGGCGAAAGACUAAUCGAACCAUCUAGUAGCUGGUUCCUGCC
RNAcentral lists this ribosomal RNA (767 nucleotides) under uncultured Russula. Its description in RNAcentral is "partial 28S ribosomal RNA". It matches the Rfam family "Eukaryotic large subunit ribosomal RNA", at positions 216 to 962 of the family's 3401-position model. The record is from RNAcentral. Lineage: Eukaryota; Fungi; Basidiomycota; Agaricomycetes; Russulales; Russulaceae.